AGGUAAUGAAACUCGGGAAGACUACUAGCUAGCAAGGAGUUGAUGAGAGCCACGAGGUAGAAACCGUAUUUGAGCAUAAAUAGAAGAAAAAUACGACUCUCUUCUCCACCAACAGUCAGAUACUCCGUAUCUUUCUACGUCUCUUCUACUCUCUAUUUCUUUCUCUUUCUUCCUUUCUUUUCAGGCGUACGGACAAAAUCGUCUCGUCCAGGUUAACAAUCGUCAUCCCCCUACUCUUUAUUCUUUCCUUCCCCCUUUCUCUCGUCUUUUUAUCUUUCUACGUAUAAAUAAGGGUUCCAGGUCUUCUGUUUCGGGCAUUAAUAAUCUGGUUCCAAAGGCUCAGUUGGUAGAGCAGAUUUUUGAAGAAAUCGAGGGUUUCGCCUGGCGAGAUAGAGAAAGCAAUGGUGGAUAUCGAGUCAAGUGGAAGCGCCAACCGUAUUAAGAAGUGUGCGUUUGACCUACUCUCGAUGGGGGAUCUAAUGGACGAUGAGGAUUCGUGGGACCUCAUAGGGAGAGAUCUCCGCCUCAGAUCCACCUUCCUGUAUUGUGACUUCAACCAAGUGAUCUCCAGGGCGUCGGAGGAACAGAAGAAGCCUCUCACCGACCUUGCCAACAGAUUGUUCCACUACAUCGACGAGUUGAAUAGUGCGGUGAAAAUCCGAAACAUUCCGUUGACGCAAAACCGAUACAAUGAGACAGUACUGGUGUUGCAAGAAGUGAUGGCGCUUAUGCCUUGAGAUUUGGCUUCUAGAGUGAUCAGAGGGUCAGAAGGGUCCUUGGAUUUGUAUCUCUGUAUUGGCGACCUACCUGAUACCCAUAUCUGUAAAUACAAGUAUAUCGCUAUAAACAAGACCCAACUGGUUACAUAGAUA
Molecule: long non-coding RNA, 872 nt
Organism: Nelumbo nucifera (sacred lotus)
Lineage: Eukaryota; Viridiplantae; Streptophyta; Magnoliopsida; Proteales; Nelumbonaceae
Source: RefSeq, a predicted model, not a curated record